Molecule: ribosomal RNA, 500 nt
Filed under: Petasospora americana
Lineage: Eukaryota; Fungi; Ascomycota; Saccharomycetes; Phaffomycetales; Wickerhamomycetaceae
Description: eukaryotic LSU rRNA
Rfam family: Eukaryotic large subunit ribosomal RNA
Source: RNAcentral
AAAGCUCAAAUUUGAAAUCUAGUACCUUCGGUGCUCGAGUUGUAAUUUGAAGAUAGUUUUCUGGUGCUGGCCCUUGUCUAUGUUCCUUGGAACAGGACGUCAUAGAGGGUGAGAAUCCCGUCUGAUGGGGUGUCCAGUGCUUUGUAGAUUUCUAUCGAAGAGUCGAGUUGUUUGGGAAUGCAGCUCUAAGUGGGUGGUAAAUUCCAUCUAAAGCUAAAUACUGGCGAGAGACCGAUAGCGAACAAGUACAGUGAUGGAAAGAUGAAAAGAACUUUGAAAAGAGAGUGAAAAAGUACGUGAAAUUGUUGAAAGGGAAGGGUAUUGGAUCAGACUUGGUGUUUUGUGAUUAUCUUCCCUUCUUGGGUUGUGCACUCGCAUUUCACUGGGCCAGCAUCGGUUCGGAUGGCAAGAUAAUGGCUUGGGAACGUGGCACUCUUCGGAGUGUGUUAUAUCCCUUGUUGAUGUUGCCUAUCUGGACCGAGGACUGCGGCUUCUGCCUA